UUUGUUCACUCUCCCUCAAGGGCUUCUGAUUUGAGCCAUGCAAGGUGGCUAAGGCCAGAAGCUCUUUAAGGGAGAAAGGAGAA
RNAcentral lists this microRNA precursor (83 nucleotides) under Olea europaea subsp. europaea. Lineage: Eukaryota; Viridiplantae; Streptophyta; Magnoliopsida; Lamiales; Oleaceae. The record is from RNAcentral.